Molecule: non-coding RNA, 194 nt
Organism: Picea glauca (white spruce)
Lineage: Eukaryota; Viridiplantae; Streptophyta; Pinopsida; Pinales; Pinaceae
Source: Rfam
UAACAUAAUGGGGAGCUUCCUUCACUUCAAUAGAAAGACAACAAGGAGAAUGAUCAGAUGCCGCCUCAUGUGUCUGACUAUUCUGUCCUUUCUUGGCUUAAACAGACAGAUUAGCCAAAUGCUUGAUGCGGGACCUGCUGUUCUUCUUUUUCUUGUCAUUCUUUGGACUGAAGGGAGCUCCCCUUUCUCCCACA